This 507-nucleotide ribosomal RNA is filed under the name uncultured bacterium. Its description in RNAcentral is "bacterial SSU rRNA". It matches the Rfam family "Bacterial small subunit ribosomal RNA", at positions 28 to 520 of the family's 1533-position model. The record is from RNAcentral.
GAUGAACGCUAGCUACAGGCUUAACACAUGCAAGUCGAGGGGAAACGAUAGAGAAAGCUUGCUUUUUCUAGGCGUCGACCGGCGCACGGGUGAGUAACGCGUAUCCAACCUGCCCAUCACUUGGGGAUAACCUUGCGAAAGUAAGACUAAUACCCAAUGACGUCUCUAGAAGACAUCUGAAAGAGAUUAAAGAUUUAUCGGUGAUGGAUGGGGAUGCGUCUGAUUAGCUUGUUGGCGGGGUAACGGCCCACCAAGGCGACGAUCAGUAGGGGUUCUGAGAGGAAGGUCCCCCCACAUUGGAACUGAGACACGGUCCAAACUCCUACGGGAGGCAGCAGUGAGGAAUAUUGGUCAAUGGACGAGAGUCUGAACCAGCCAAGUAGCGUGCAGGAUGACGGCCCUAUGGGUUGUAAACUGCUUUUAUAAGGGAAUAAAGUGGGAGUCGUGACUCUUUUUGCAUGUACCUUAUGAAUAAGGACCGGCUAAUUCCGUGCCAGCAGCCGACGG